UGGGGAAUAUUGCACAAUGGGCGCAAGCCUGAUGCAGCAACGCCGCGUGAACGAUGAAGGUCUUCGGAUCGUAAAGUUCUGUUGCAGGGGAAGAUAAUGACGGUACCCUGUGAGGAAGCCCCGGCUACCUACGUGCCAGCAGCCGCGGUAAUACGUAGGGGGCUAGCGUUAUCCGUAUUUACUGGGCGUAAAGGGUGCGUAGGUGGUCUUUCAAGUCGGUGGUUAAAGGCUACGGCUCAACCGUAGUUAGCCUCCGAAACUGGAAGACUUGAGUGCAGGAGAGGAAAGUGGAAUUCCCAGUGUAGCGGUGAAAUGCGUAGAUAUUGGGAGGAACACCAGUAGCGAAGGCGGCUUUCUGGACUGCAACUGACACUGAGGCACGAAAGCGUGGGUAGCAAACAGG
This 403-nucleotide ribosomal RNA is filed under the name Verrucomicrobiota bacterium. RNAcentral describes it as "Verrucomicrobia bacterium partial 16S ribosomal RNA". It matches the Rfam family "Bacterial small subunit ribosomal RNA", at positions 355 to 776 of the family's 1533-position model. The record is from RNAcentral. Lineage: Bacteria; Pseudomonadati; Verrucomicrobiota.